RNAcentral lists this small RNA (86 nucleotides) under Flavobacterium sp. 9R. Its description in RNAcentral is "Flavo-1". It matches the Rfam family "Flavo-1 RNA". Lineage: Bacteria; Pseudomonadati; Bacteroidota; Flavobacteriia; Flavobacteriales; Flavobacteriaceae. The record is from RNAcentral.
UUUUAGCCCCGGGAGUAGCGGCAUCCUUUGUUGUCUCGUUUUUUUUGAACGAGACAACAAAGAUAUAGCGAAUCACGGGACGAUGC